CAGCACCUCAAGUGGUCAGGAUGAUUAUUGGGCCUAAAGCAUCCGUAGCCGGCGCUGUAAGUUUUCGGUUAAAUCUGUACGCUCAACGUACAGGCUGCCGGGAAUACUGCAGCGCUAGGGAGUGGGAGAGGUAGACGGUGCUCGGUAGGAAGGGGUAAAAUCCUUUGAUCUAUUGAUGACCACCUGUGGCGAAGGCGGUCUACCAGAACACGUCCGACGGUGAGGGAUGAAAGCUGGGGGAGCAAACCGGAUUAGAGACCCGAGUAGUCC
RNAcentral lists this ribosomal RNA (270 nucleotides) under uncultured archaeon. Its description in RNAcentral is "partial 16S ribosomal RNA". It matches the Rfam family "Archaeal small subunit ribosomal RNA", at positions 477 to 747 of the family's 1478-position model. The record is from RNAcentral.